AAGAGUUUGCAACGCACAAUGCCACGAAGACGUGUUUUCAGGUUCAUUACUUGUCAGGUGUUAUAGAAGGGAUACUGCUGUAACUCAAGAUAACAAGAUAUGAUGAGAAGUCUUUUCCCAUUGCUCGUUCUGCAGAUGUGGAAUGUGACAGUUGGCGGCGAUGCUGCCGCACAGGACUGUGGUUCAGUGGUGAAUAACACUUUGAAAAGUCCAAAUUAUCCUGAAGGCUAUCCAGACAAUAUGGAGUGUGAAUUUAAAGUUCCUAUUCCAUCUGGAUUUAGAUUGAAAAUCACUUUUGAGUACAUGAGGUUGCC
This is a non-coding RNA of Pocillopora verrucosa, 314 nucleotides long. NCBI's taxonomy places the organism in Eukaryota, Metazoa, Cnidaria, Anthozoa, Scleractinia, Pocilloporidae. The record is from RefSeq and is a predicted model, not a curated record.